RNAcentral lists this ribosomal RNA (496 nucleotides) under uncultured bacterium. RNAcentral describes it as "partial 16S ribosomal RNA". It matches the Rfam family "Bacterial small subunit ribosomal RNA", at positions 29 to 507 of the family's 1533-position model. The record is from RNAcentral.
AUGAACGCUGGCGGCGUGCCUAAUCCAUGCAAGUCGAGCGAACAGACGAGGAGCUUGCUCCUCUGACGUUAGCGGCGGACGGGUGAGUAACACGUGGAUAACCUACCUAUAAGACUGGGAUAACUUCGGGAAACCGGAGCUAAUACCGGAUAAUAUAUUGAACCGCAUGGUUCAAUAGUGAAAGACGGUUUUGCUGUCACUUAUAGAUGGAUCCGCGCCGCAUUAGCUAGUUGGUAAGGUAACGGCUUACCAAGGCAACGAUGCGUAGCCGACCUGAGAGGGUGAUCGGCCACACUGGAACUGAGACACGGUCCAGACUCCUACGGGAGGCAGCAGUAGGGAAUCUUCCGCAAUGGGCGAAAGCCUGACGGAGCAACGCCGCGUGAGUGAUGAAGGUCUUCGGAUCGUAAAACUCUGUUAUUAGGGAAGAACAAAUGUGUAAGUAACUAUGCACGUCUUGACGGUACCUAAUCAGAAAGUCACGGCUAACUACGUG